CUACGGGAGGCUCCAGUGGGGAAUAUUGCACAAUGGGCGCAAGCCUGAUGCAGCAACGCCGCGUGAGGGAUGAAGGCCUUCGGGUUGUAAACCUCUUUUAGCAGGGAAGAAGCGAAAGUGACGGUACCUGCAGAAAAAGCACCGGCUAACUACGUGCCAGCAGCCGCGGUAAUACGUAGGGUGCAAGCGUUGUCCGGAAUUAUUGGGCGUAAAGAGCUCGUAGGCGGUUUGUCACGUCUGCUGUGAAAAUCCAAGGCUCAACCUUGGACUUGCAGUGGGUACGGGCAGGCUAGAGUGCGGUAGGGGAGAUGGGAAUUCCUGGUGUAGCGGUGGAAUGCGCAGAUAUCAGGAGGAACACCAAUGGCGAAGGCACAUCUCUGGGCCGUAACUGACGCUGAGGAGCGAAAGCGUGGGGAGCGAACAGGAUUAGAUACCCGCGUAGUC
RNAcentral lists this ribosomal RNA (444 nucleotides) under uncultured bacterium. RNAcentral's name for it is "partial 16S ribosomal RNA". It matches the Rfam family "Bacterial small subunit ribosomal RNA", at positions 339 to 795 of the family's 1533-position model. The record is from RNAcentral.